UUAUGGCUCAGAACGAACGCUGGCGGCAUGGAUUAGGCAUGCAAGUCGAACGGGAGCAGCAAUGCUCCAGUGGCGCAAGGGUGAGGAACACGUGAACAACCUGCCUUCGAGUUGGGGAUAGCUUCUGGAAACGGGAGAUAAUACCGAAUAACAUCACCGGAUCGCAUGAUCUGGUGAUCAAAGCAGCAAUGCGCUUGAAGAGGGGUUCGCGUCCCAUUAGCUAGUUGGUGAGGUAACGGCCCACCAAGGCGAUGAUGGGUAGCUGGUCUGAGAGGACGAUCAGCCACAUUGGGACUGAGAUACUGCCCAGACUCCUACGGGAGGCUGCAGUCGAGAAUUUUGGGCAAUGGACGAAAGUCUGAACCCCCAGCAAUGCCGCGUGCGGGAUGAAGGUCUUCGGAUUGUAAACCGCUGUCAAGAGGGACGAAACAUGACGGUACCUCUGGAGGAAGCCACGGCUAACUACGUGCCAGCAGCCGC
This 480-nucleotide ribosomal RNA is filed under the name uncultured bacterium. RNAcentral describes it as "bacterial SSU rRNA". It matches the Rfam family "Bacterial small subunit ribosomal RNA", at positions 17 to 518 of the family's 1533-position model. The record is from RNAcentral.